Molecule: non-coding RNA, 493 nt
Organism: Caenorhabditis elegans
Lineage: Eukaryota; Metazoa; Nematoda; Chromadorea; Rhabditida; Rhabditidae
Source: Ensembl
UCUUUAGAGUUCAAAUGUAAUUCAACUACGGUAAUGUAAGAAUCAUGAUUCAAUUUUGUGCGGAAAAUUUGGAGUGGCAAGUACCAUGUACCAUAAAUUGAAGAAAACAAGAAAUUCAAUUUUACUAAAUGGAUAAGGAUCCUUGUGGGAAAUAUGAAGAACACGGGCACGCUUCCUUCUCAUUUUUAUCUUUGCCACGUCCCUCUUCUUUCUGUCUUUUUCUUUUGAUGUUUUUGUGGCUGUUGGCGCAUAAGUCCGUCUGGCAAAACCAAAACCACAAAAUAUCUGUUUGGUCCAUCCAGUCCACCCAUCUCGAAUGUUCGGAAUGGGUAGAACGAAAGACAGUAGUGACAAAGACAUAAUGUGGGUUUGGGUUCGGGUUUCGAAGGAGAGGAGGGACAUAUGGAUGCAAUAAUCUGUUGUCGUUGCCAUCUCUCAUCUUUUCUUCAAAAACGUCAGUUGCACAAUUUAGAUUGAAUGUUAGGAUUAGAUG